RNAcentral lists this transfer RNA (64 nucleotides) under Anadara broughtonii. RNAcentral describes it as "tRNA-Leu". It matches the Rfam family "tRNA". Rfam says of the family: Transfer RNA (tRNA) molecules are approximately 80 nucleotides in length. Their secondary structure includes four short double-helical elements and three loops (D, anti-codon, and T loops). Further hydrogen bonds mediate the characteristic L-shaped molecular structure. tRNAs have two regions of fundamental functional importance: the anti-codon, which is responsible for specific mRNA codon recognition, and the 3' end, to which the tRNAs corresponding amino acid is attached (by aminoacyl-tRNA synthetases). tRNAs cope with the degeneracy of the genetic code in two manners: having more than one tRNA (with a specific anti-codon) for a particular amino acid; and 'wobble' base-pairing, i.e. permitting non-standard base-pairing at the 3rd anti-codon position. The record is from RNAcentral. RNAcentral also lists the same sequence under 1 other name. Lineage: Eukaryota; Metazoa; Mollusca; Bivalvia; Arcoida; Arcidae.
GCUGGGGUGGCAGAUUAAUGCAUUAGAUUUAAGCUCUAAAGAUGAGGGUUUUCCUCCCCUGGCU